RNAcentral lists this ribosomal RNA (113 nucleotides) under Collibacillus ludicampi. Lineage: Bacteria; Bacillati; Bacillota; Bacilli; Caryophanales; Alicyclobacillaceae. The record is from RNAcentral.
UAGUGGCAAUGGCGGAGAGGACACACCCGUUCCCAUCCCGAACACGGAAGUUAAGCUCUCCAGCGCCAAUGGUACUUGGGGCGGGAGCCCCCCGGGAGAGUAGGUCGCUGCUA